CGUCCACGUCCACCAGCGGAGUUUAUUCCUGUUGAGCCACGAUGGGUGCCCAGGUUGAGUGAGGCUGGUCUUCUUACUAUAGGUCGUCUUGCUGAGAGUGGUUUAGUACAGCUGGACAGGUCCCUACUGACGGCUCUAGUUGAUAGAUGGAGGCCUGAGACAAACACCUUCCACCUCCCUUGUGGGGAGAUGACACCGACCCUACAGGACAUUGCGAUGCUGCUGGGUCUUCCUAUCAGUGGGGAUGCCGUAGGGCCUCGUGUCGUCCCGCCUACGUGGUUGGACGAUCUAGAAGAGCGUUUUGCAAAUAUUGACAUCGCGAUUGAUGUAGAAGAGCACCCAAAAGCAACAGGCCCUGCCAAGGCAUGGAUCCUCCAGUUCCAGGUACAUACCUUGUUAUGGAACGAUUAAUGUUAGAGUUAUGCUUUUUACUA
Panicum virgatum (switchgrass) is the source of this 434-nucleotide long non-coding RNA. RefSeq lists it as uncharacterized. The record is from RefSeq and is a predicted model, not a curated record. The transcript has 2 exons. NCBI's taxonomy places the organism in Eukaryota, Viridiplantae, Streptophyta, Magnoliopsida, Poales, Poaceae.